GGGGAGCGUUGUGUAAGCGGAAGAAGGUGGCUCGAGAGGGUUGCUGGACGUAUCACAAGUGCGAAUGCUGACAUAAGUAACGAUAAAACGAGUGAAAAACUCGUUCGCCGGAAGACCAAGGGUUCCUGUCCAACGUUAAUCGGGGCAGGGUGAGUCGGCCCCUAAGGCGAGGCUGAAAAGCGUAGUCGAUGGGAAACGGGUUAAUAUUCCCGUACUUGGUAAAGCUGCGAUGUGGGGACGGAGAAGGUUAGGUAAGCGGACUGUUGGAAAUGUCCGUUUAAGUUGGUAGUUGGGAGCGGUAGGCAAAUCCGCUGCUCCAUUCAACAACGAGAGAUGAUGACGAGUUCCUAAGGGAAUGAAGUUACCGAUACCCGGCUUCCAGGAAAAGCCACUAAGCGAAAGGCUUUAUUAAACCGUACUGAAAACCGACACAGGUGGUCAGGUAGAGAAUACUCAGGCGCUUGAGAGAACUCGGGUGAAGGAACUAGGCAAAAUAGCACCGUAACUUCGGGAGAAGGUGCGCUUACAGUAAUUGUAGUCCCUCGCGGAUGAAGGUGAAGUAAGUCGAAGAUACCAGCUGGCUGCAACUGUUUAUUAAAAACACAGCACUCUGCAAACACGAAAGUGGACGUAUAGGGUGUGAUGCCUGCCCGGUGCUGGAAGGUUAAUUGAUGGUGUUAUCGAAAGAGAAGCUCCUGAUCGAAGCCCCAGUAAACGGCGGCCGUAACUAUAACGGUCCUAAGGUAGCGAAAUUCCUUGUCGGGUAAGUUCCGACCUGCACGAAUGGCAUAAUGAUGGCCAGGCUGUCUCCACCCGAGACUCAGUGAAAUUGAAAUCGCCGUGAAGAUGCGGUGUACCCGCGGCUAGACGGAAAGACCCCGUGAACCUUUACUAUAGCUUGACACUGAACAUUGAAUUUUGAUGUGUAGGAUAGGUGGGAGCCUUUGAAGCAGUGACGCCAGUCAUUGUGGAGGCGACCUUGAAAUACCACCCUUUAACGUUUGAUGUUCUAACGAAGUGCCUGAAACGGGUACUCGGACAGUGUCUGGUGGGUAGUUUGACUGGGGCGGUCUCCUCCCAAAGCGUAACGGAGGAGCACGAAGGUUUGCUAAUGACGGUCGGACAUCGUCAGGUUAGUGCAAUGGUAUAAGCAAGCUUAACUGCGAGACGGACAAGUCGAGCAGGUGCGAAAGCAGGUCAUAGUGAUCCGGUGGUUCUGAAUGGAAGGGCCAUCGCUCAACGGAUAAAAGGUACUCCGGGGAUAACAGGCUGAUACCGCCCAAGAGUUCAUAUCGACGGCGGUGUUUGGCACCUCGAUGUCGGCUCAUCACAUCCUGGGGCUGAAGUAGGUCCCAAGGGUAUGGCUGUUCGCCAUUUAAAGUGGUACGCGAGCUGGGUUUAGAACGUCGUGAGACAGUUCGGUCCCUAUCUGCCGUGGGCGUUGGAUGAUUGAUUGGGGCUGCUCCUAGUACGAGAGGACCGGAGUGGACGCAUCACUGGUGUUCCAGUUGUCUCGCCAGAGGCAUUGCUGGGUAGCUAAAUGCGGAAGAGAUAAGUGCUGAAAGCAUCUAAGCACGAAACUUGCCAAGAGAUGAGUCAUCCCUGACUUUAAGUCAGUAAGGGUUGUUUAAGACUAAGACGUAGAUAGGUUGGGUGUGUAAGUGUAGUGAUACAUUGAGCUAACCAAUACUAAUUGCCCGAGAGGCUUAACCAUACAACACUCAAG
RNAcentral lists this ribosomal RNA (1726 nucleotides) under Pasteurella multocida. RNAcentral's name for it is "bacterial LSU rRNA". It matches the Rfam family "Bacterial large subunit ribosomal RNA", at positions 1231 to 2925 of the family's 2925-position model. The record is from RNAcentral. Lineage: Bacteria; Pseudomonadati; Pseudomonadota; Gammaproteobacteria; Pasteurellales; Pasteurellaceae.